GAUGAACGCUGGCGGCGUGCCUAAUACAUGCAAGUCGAGCGAACGGACGAGAAGCUUGCUUCUCUGAUGUUAGCGGCGGACGGGUGAGUAACACGUGGAUAACCUACCUAUAAGACUGGGAUAACUUCGGGAAACCGGAACUAAUACCGGAUAAUAUUUUGAACCGCAUGGUUCAAAGGUGAAAGACGGUCUUGCUGUCACUUAUAGAUGGAUCCGCGCUGCAUUAGCUAGUUGGUAAGGUAACGGCUUACCAAGGCAACGAUGCAUAGCCGACCUGAGAGGGUGAUCGGCCACACUGGAACUGAGACACGGUCCAGACUCCUACGGGAGGCAGCAGUAGGGAAUCUUCCGCAAUGGGCGAAAGCCUGACGGAGCAACGCCGCGUGAGUGAUGAAGGUAUUCGGAUCGUAAAACUCUGUUAUUAGGGAAGAACAUAUGUGUAAGUAACUGUGCACAUCUUGACGGUACCUAAUCAGAAAGCCACGGCUAACUACGUG
RNAcentral lists this ribosomal RNA (497 nucleotides) under uncultured bacterium. RNAcentral's name for it is "partial 16S ribosomal RNA". It matches the Rfam family "Bacterial small subunit ribosomal RNA", at positions 28 to 507 of the family's 1533-position model. The record is from RNAcentral.